UACGUAGGGCGCAAGCGUUGUCCGGAAUUAUUGGGCGUAAAGAGCUCGUAGGCGGUCUGUCGCGUCUGUUGUGAAAACUCGAGGCUCAACCUCGGGCUUGCAGUGGAUACGGGCAGACUAGAGUGCGGUAGGGGAGACUGGAAUUCCUGGUGUAGCGGUGAAAUGCGCAGAUAUCAGGAAGAACACCCGUGGCGAAGGCGGCUCUCUGGGACGGUACUGACGCUGAGACGCGAAAGCGUGGGGAGCGAACAGG
This 253-nucleotide ribosomal RNA is filed under the name uncultured bacterium. RNAcentral's name for it is "partial 16S ribosomal RNA". It matches the Rfam family "Bacterial small subunit ribosomal RNA", at positions 524 to 776 of the family's 1533-position model. The record is from RNAcentral.